RNAcentral lists this ribosomal RNA (768 nucleotides) under Triticum aestivum (bread wheat). RNAcentral's name for it is "partial small subunit ribosomal RNA". The record is from RNAcentral. Lineage: Eukaryota; Viridiplantae; Streptophyta; Magnoliopsida; Poales; Poaceae.
AUGCUGAAGUGCAAACCGUCGACUACACCCAUGUCUACCACUGAUAAGCUCAAUGCUGUUGAUGGUGUGCUUCUUUCUUCUUCUGAUGCGACAGAGUACAGGAGUAUUGUUGGUGGGCUCCAGUACUUGACGAUCACGCGACCAGACAUUUCCUAUGCUGUUAACCGAGUCUGCCAGUAUCUGCAGUCACCCCGUGACACUCAUUGGUCUGCUGUUAAGCGGAUUUUGCGCUAUAUUCGUUUCACGGUGGCUCAUGGUUUGCAUAUUCGACCGUCUGACUCUGGUUGUCUUUCAGCAUAUUCUGAUGCAGACUGGGCUGGCAAUCCGGAUGACAGGCGAUCCACGGGGGGUUAUGCUGUCUUCUUUGGCUCUAACCUGAUUGCCUGGAGUGCUCGGAAACAGGCUAUUGUCUCGCGUAGCAGUACUGAGGCUGAGUAUAAGGCUGUGGCCAAUGCCACAUCAGAGAUCAUCUGGGUACAGUCCUUGCUUCAGGAGUUAAGUAUACCCCAAUCACAGCCUCCUGUUCUUUGGUGUGAUAACAUCGGUGCUACAUACCUUUCUGCAAAUCCGGUAUUCCAUGCCCGAACGAAACACAUUGAAGUUGACUAUCACUUUGUGCGUGAACAUGUCUCUCAGAAGCAACUACAGAUCAAGUUUAUUUCUUCCAAGGAUCAACUUGCUGACAUCUUCAUCAAGCCAUUGCCUUUGCCACAGUUUGAGACUUGCAGGCGCAAUCUUACCCUUCUAGAUUCAUUAGAAAGUGGCUAA